GUCAUCAAGCUCAUGCAGAGCUUCAAGUCCAAGGAGUACGUCAGGGAGACCUUCUCGUGGCAGCACUACUACUGGUACCUGACCAAUGACGGCAUCGAGUUCCUGCGCACCUUCCUCAACCUGCCAUCUGAGAUUGUGCCCAACACCCUCAAGAAGUCUGCUAAGCCCCCAUCCCGCCCCUUUGGCUCUGGCCCGCCGGGUGAUCGCCCCAGGUGAGCCUUUUUUAUCUUUCUGUUUGUUUCGAGUAUGUUGCUAUCUGUUGCUGUGUGAAUGAACCUCUUCAUCUAGCUAUUUAUUUACUUAUUGCUGUAUAGAUUUCAAUGACCGUUGGUUCUACUCCAGCAUUCUGUUAGCCAAAUUCAAAUUCAAAUUAUGCGAUCAACUGUGUUCUAUUUAUUGCAAUCCCCCACUUGCAAACUUGCUAUGAUGGCCUGUACCAAUUCUCUGCCACCACCUUCUAUCCAAUUUUGUAAUGGGCGUGUAGUUUCUUUUUUGAGAACCAAACCUUUGAGUUACUUCUGCAUUAUUUAUGUAUCCAUGAAUCGUACCAUUUCACUUUUCAUUUCUUCUAGAAUGCUGUGUAGUUAAAACUGGCUGUAGUUUUCUGGCACAUGAAGUUAACAAUGGGAGGCUGAGAUGCAAUUGCCCAAUGAUAUCCAAUUUGUCCGUUCCUGUUUCAGCCAUAUUUUCUUGUGGCUCUGUAUGCACCAAAGAACUGGUAUAUUUGCCGUCACUUACUUUUGUCGUAUAUUUGGCAGGGGCCCACCUCGUUUCGAGGGUGACAGGCCGAGGUUCGCUGAUAGGGAUGGUUACAGGGGAGGCCCACGUGGUGCUCCUGGUGAUUUUGCUGGCGAGAAGGGUGGAGCUCCUGCUGAGUUCCAGCCAUCUUUCAGGGUAAGAGCUCCAAAGAUUGUCCGUACAUUCCACAUCACUGUUCAUACAUUUCAUAAGAUUGCUUAGUGUGCUUGUGUAUUAGUUGUGUUGGUGCCUUUAGUUUUCUUGCAGAGUCCAUUCAAGAAAUCAUUAGGUUUUUAAAUCGGAACAUUUUGAAAAGUUUGUCAAACUAUACUUCCCAUCCGCACAUUGUAUAUUGAGCUGUUUCUUCUGUAACAUUGCUGUGCUACCUUAUUGAUCUGCGAUGCAGCGUAUCAUUUGCACAUUUUGAAAUGUUGCUUCUCCCAGGAGUCUCAUUUUUGUGGUUUGUUGAUAAGCAAUUGAAUUUGUAUUCGUUACAACCUUGUAGCGUAUUUUUACUGUUGAGUUCAAGUCACUUGCUAUGUCACGUUUCUACUUUAGCCUCUUGUGACAAAUAAUGCGGUCAAUUGGUAACCUUUCUUGGAGCUAAUUCGUUGCCAUGUUUUGUUAUGGUUGUUCAGGGUGGUAGCAGACCUGCCUUUGGCCGUGGAGGUGGAGGUGGCAGCGGUGCAUUCGGUGCUGGGGCAUCCUCCAUGGAGUGAAGAAGGGAUACAUGGGCUAGCGGCGGCGCUGAUUUAUACCUAAUAGCUUUCC
RNAcentral lists this long non-coding RNA (1509 nucleotides) under Brachypodium distachyon (stiff brome). RNAcentral's name for it is "long non-coding RNA (BDIS_LNC003802)". Lineage: Eukaryota; Viridiplantae; Streptophyta; Magnoliopsida; Poales; Poaceae. The record is from RNAcentral.